Molecule: long non-coding RNA, 303 nt
Organism: Bradysia coprophila
Lineage: Eukaryota; Metazoa; Arthropoda; Insecta; Diptera; Sciaridae
Source: RefSeq, a predicted model, not a curated record
CUAACGAAUAUGACCGAUUCUUCUAGCUCGCCGAUGCAAAAGUUGAAAAACUGAAAAAACUGAGGGUCGAUGAAGUCCGACAAUUAAAAGAACAAAUCGACGCUUUGGAGGGUUCAAGAAUAUUUUACCUGAAAAUUUACAAUGAUGCAAGGAAGCAAUUGUCACUGAAGCCGAUCAUCGUCGGUGAGGAGCAAUCGGUGAAAAUAAGUGCAAACAUGUCAGUGGUUGAUGAAGGUGACUGUGAUUUUGAUGACGAAACGCAAAACGGUUCGAACCAUUCGAUCGGCAAUUCAAUUAGAAAUC